GGAUAAGUGGUCGAGUGGUUUAUGGCACCAGUUUUGAAAACUGACGUAGUAAAAGCUACCGUGGGUUCAAAUCCCACCUUAUCCU
RNAcentral lists this transfer RNA (85 nucleotides) under Ecklonia radicosa. RNAcentral describes it as "tRNA-Ser". It matches the Rfam family "tRNA". Rfam says of the family: Transfer RNA (tRNA) molecules are approximately 80 nucleotides in length. Their secondary structure includes four short double-helical elements and three loops (D, anti-codon, and T loops). Lineage: Eukaryota; Phaeophyceae; Laminariales; Lessoniaceae. The record is from RNAcentral.